RNAcentral lists this ribosomal RNA (450 nucleotides) under uncultured bacterium. RNAcentral describes it as "partial 16S ribosomal RNA". It matches the Rfam family "Bacterial small subunit ribosomal RNA", at positions 354 to 796 of the family's 1533-position model. The record is from RNAcentral.
GUGGGGAAUCUUCCGCAAUGGACGAAAGUCUGACGGAGCGACGCCGCGUGAGUGAAGAAGGCCUUCGGGUCGUAAAGCUCUGUCAUCAGGGACGAACGGCCGGUGGAGUGGAAAGCCACCGGAUUGACGGUACCUGAGAAGGAAGCCACGGCUAACUACGUGCCAGCAGCCGCGGUAAUACGUAGGUGGCAAGCGUUGUCCGGAAUUAUUGGGCGUAAAGCGCGCGCAGGCGGGAGGUCAAGUCUAUCUUAAAAGUGCGGGGCUCAACCCCGUGAGGGGAUGGAAACUGGUCUUCUUGAGUGCAGGAGAGGAAAGCGGAAUUCCUAGUGUAGCGGUGAAAUGCGUAGAUAUUAGGAGGAACACCAGUGGCGAAGGCGGCUUUCUGGACUGUAACUGACGCUGAGGCUCGAAAGCGUGGGUAUCAAACAGGAUUAGAAACCCGGGUAGUCC